This is a long non-coding RNA of Heterocephalus glaber (naked mole-rat), 4242 nucleotides long. NCBI's taxonomy places the organism in Eukaryota, Metazoa, Chordata, Mammalia, Rodentia, Bathyergidae. The record is from Ensembl.
CUAUUAUGUAUCAGAUGUAGCUUGUGUAUUUUAUGGUGAGUAGUCAAUAAGUGUCGGUGAGACUUAAGACAUAGAAAAUUAUAAAAUCAUUUUUAGUACCAAAAGCUGAAGUAAUUAAAAGUGUUAAAGCAUACCAAUAGUCAAGUGCCUGCCCUAUGCCAGACACUUCCACGUAUUUAUGUAUGUUCAUUUAGUUGUCACAUGGGCUCUGUGCGAUAAGAACUGUUACACCAGUGUUGCCCAAGGUAUUGCUAAACAAAUGGCAAAGCUAGGAAUUAACCUACAUAGGUUUGAUUCUAGAGUCUGGCUCCCAAGCAUAUCUAUGUUCUGUGCUGCAAAUAGACGUAAUUUUCCAUCCAUAAUUUUCAUUUUGUACCUCAUUCAUGUGAAUAAAAGAAUGUGGAUGCUAAAGUUAAUACAUGAGCACCUCAGUGUGCAGUUUUGCAUGAGUUUGUUGCCUUUAUAUUUGCAGAUAACUUGUCAGGAAGGGAAAGCAGGGACAGUGGUGGGUCUGCUGGAAUGUGUCUACUGAAACCCUUUAUAAUCUUAGUGAAUAUUUCUACAUACUAAGUGGGUUAUGUAGAUACUUGAUUUAAAUCUGAAAUUUUAAAAUCCAUUUACUGCAUGCUUUUCCUGUAGCCAUCAGUUCUUUAUCUAGAAUGCAUAAGGAAACCGAAGGAUGACAACAAGUAAUGAGUGAUUUGGAGGUUGAUCAUAAAGCUAGCUCUCAAGAGAAUAAGAACAAGUAGAACAUCUUGAAACCUUAUUUGAUCUAGAAAUGACAAAUUUGUAAAUGUGUCAUUUAAACAAUUUGAUCCUCAGUAUUAAGGUCUAAGUUGAUCUUAAGUGAGCCAGGCAAAAAUGGCUUUAGUUUAUAUAUAAGGAGCUUAAAAUAAAUGUGUUGUAGUAUAUUUUUUAGUGACUUAAUGGAGUUAUUUCAAUAUUCUGGUAGUUUAGUACACAUAAGAAUUCUUGAAGUAUGGGGAAAUUUAAAUCUUAGGUCUCCAGAUUUUUUCUGUGGUUAUGGUUCUUAAAUGUCUCAGCACAAUGUCUGGUAUGUGGUGGGUGUAGACACUCAGCAAAAUAUCAACCAAAUGUGCUAAAUAUCAGUAAGUGGCUUGAAAGAAAGAAAAGAAUUGAACAUAAAAUCUGUACCACAUUAUUGGAGGGGUGUAACAAUGUGGUCAUAAGGAUUGUAUUUUUUACUCAUAAUUGGAAUUUAUUUAAUCUUUGAUUUUUCAACUAGGCAAAAAGUAAAAAAUGCAGACCAGUUGAUGGUUUGUUCCAGAAGGCAUUAAAUGUCAAUUUUACAGCCCUCUUUAUAUGACAUCACUGUAACAGUACUUUGCCAAUACAGGUUCACUGGAUCCUUUCAGGAUCCUGUGAAAAAACUCAGGCUUAAUGAUCUAGCUCAUGCAAGUUCCCACCCACAGUUAAUGGAGUGCAGGAACUUGAACCCAAGUCUGUAAAACUUGGGCUUUUGAUGACUGUUGCUAUGUCCUCGGUAACUGGUUAUUUGGCAUUCUAGAUAGAACUUUAUAAAUUGAAUUUGGAUCUUAAGGUAGAUUUUCUUGGCAAAUGCUUUGUUGAAAAGUUUGUGUUGGUUUUUGAAUACGUGCUCUUGAUGUUGUGAAACUUCCGUAGAGCCUGCAGUAAAUUGGUGAUGUUAGCUACCUGUAUUGAUGCAGAUGGUAGUGUACUACUUACAGAUUUAUAGAGCUGAUGUCAGGUCAGUACCUAUAGAAUUGUGUUUAUUUUCUGUAUAACAGUAUCCUUUCUAUAUAAUGCCCUCCUGUCUAUUUAAAAAAUACCCACUAGACUGAUUUUUUAAUAUGGGAUUGGAGACUGAGAAACUUCAUGGUGGGAAAAUGGGCAAAAAUUUGUGAUUUUGUUUCAAUGCAGUUCCAGCAGUAGACAGCCAGUGUAUAUGUGUAACUGCAAAACAAGACUGUUAGAAACUAAAUAAAGGGCGAGAGGCUGUAGUAUUUCUCAAACAACAAACUGUACAUGCUAUGUCUAUUUGCAGGAGUACUGCAAAACCCUUUUCCGGUACUCCUAAGGAAAACUCUUGACCAAAAGUAAUACUAUACAAACGUGUAGUAGGGCACCAGAGUUCCUCAAACUUGCCUUGAGCUGGUUAAAAAACAAUGCAAUCCAUUCUCAAAGAAGUAUGGAUUUACUUUCAUUGAAGUUACUGAAGAGUGUGCUGCAAACUCUCAAGAAGUUUCAGAAGUUUGGGCAGCAAAUGCUCUUGUCCUCAGAAUUGCCUAGAGAAGUUUCAGGUACAAUAAUAGCUAUAAAAAUGCCCCUUGUGAAGAUUAUGAUUUAAUAGGUCUGAAAUGAUUCUUUAAAGCAUCUAAGUUUGGAAACCAUUGUUUUAAAUUAUACAAGAUACAAUAAACUUCCAAUUUCACUAAUUAGACGCCUUUCAUUUGGUAAGAGAUGCAAGUUGUGAGAUUAACACAUCUUAUGUGCAUUUAGCACACCUCAGCUGGUUAAAGCAACAUGUUCAAGUCUAGGGAUCAGAUUUCACCGUGGGCCGGUUAGUUUCAAGCUACUUGUGGUCACAGAUCACAAUAUUAAUCACAGCCAACCAAUUGUUAGUCUUAAUUGAGGGUAGGUAGGCAGGAUCACUAAAUAGUGUCAUUUUAAUUAGACAUCCCCACUAGGAGAAAUGAAAUGUAGAAAAGUGGUAAAAGCCUUGUGACUUCUGUCCCAUUAGUGUGGGUUUAGAUAGCAAUACUAAAAGUGACUAAUUAAAAAGCAAGUGCCUACUGAACAGGUUUGGAAUUUUUCCCCCCAUAAUUAUAAUUGUGAAGUAGUAUUUGUGACAAAAGUUGAGAUGUUUGUACUGCUAAUUUUGUGAUAUGAACCUAAGAGUAAACCAUGGUCUUGGCUGUUGUCUACAUAAUACAGAUAGCGUGAAGAGUUUCUGAUGAGAUUUAGUUUCUGGUUGAUCAUACAUGCAAUCUGACAUGAGGUGACUCUUUAAAGACUUUUGACUAAUACCUAGGUGUAACUUCUGGGUUCUCAGUAAUGAGCUUUCAUAGAAUGACCCAUAUUCCCUUUAAAGAGAAGUCAGGCAAAAUACUGUUUGGGGGUUUUGUUUUGGUUUGGUUUUUUGUGGCGCUGUGAAUCAAACCCAGGGCCUUGUGCGUGUUAGGCGAACACUGCCACUGACCUACAUCUCCAGCCCACAAAAUACAUGUUUUAAAAACUCUUCAUUCUUGAAAACAAAAGAUUUAAAACUAACUUCCUUAUCAGAUGGUUAUAUAUAUUAGGGUCCAGGGAUGUACAGAAUCCUACAUGCCCUUCAACAGCCAAAGGGGGACCCUCCUGGUCUGAACUGCAGCCCCUAAAAGUGCACUGUACCUUUUAGACAUUGCCCGCUAAUGAGGUCUGUUCUCAUGACGCUCGCCACAGUGACUACCACAUGAGCUUGCCUAAGGAUACGUGACCUAUCUCUGCCUAACUUUCCAUUCUCCAUAGGACUCAACUGUGAAUCCAGUGGCAGAUCAGGAUGACAGGUGGCAUUGCCACUCCCAUGGGAGAUUUUCCUCUCAUCUCCUAAAAGAUUGCAGCUUAAAUUUACUAAGGGAGCACCUGGUACCAUGCUUUUACUGUAACGUCUCUCAGCAUGAUACCUGUGAGUUUUGAAUAACUGCUAAUUUCAUGCUGACCCAUUAAUGAUAACAGCAUUGAUUUGUGAGGCAAUAAAUAGGUUGCGUGCCCCCACUAAAACCCUGCAAAUGAAUGAAGUUGCCCAUUAGCUUGGUUACUUCAUACUCUAAUCAACCGACCUUAAUGCCUAGAAACAAUUUAUAAACACCAGAUGGAAGCAUUCCUCCCUCCUUAGGCCACUGUAAUUUCCUGAAAUAUACGUAAUUACCAUGAACUUCCUGCAAUUCUUUAAAAUUUUCAUUUUCCCUAUUUAUUUUUACAAUCAGUAUGACCAAAAUAGGAGUUACUAUAACAGUUACAAAACACAUUGUUAAAAUCCAGUUUUGUGUAUAUUUUUGCACAUGUAUGUAUAUGUUUGUGUAUGUGCACAUGACAAUAGGUGUGCACAUUUGUGUAUGCAUUAUGAAUGACCUUAGAAAGUAGUUGAAGGGAAGAUUAUUUCUGUUAUAAAUUACUGCAUAUACAGUUCAACAUAUGUCAAACCAUGUAGUAAAGAGUUUACAUUCUAGUUUUAUUUCACUACCUUUGCUUUGUGUGGUUAAAUAUCAAUAAAUUUGUUAG